Oryzias melastigma (Indian medaka) is the source of this 1440-nucleotide long non-coding RNA. RefSeq lists it as uncharacterized. NCBI's taxonomy places the organism in Eukaryota, Metazoa, Chordata, Actinopteri, Beloniformes, Adrianichthyidae. The record is from RefSeq and is a predicted model, not a curated record. The transcript is spliced from 2 exons.
AAUAAAAAUAAUUAAAUUUAAAUAUAAAAAAAUCAAUAAUAAAGAUUUAUUCUUUCUUUCCCUUUUUCAUUUUUUUCUUUUGUUUCCAUCAUGUUUAAGUUUACAACUCAAGAUAAUAUUGCAUUUUUUGGAAUUAACAAUUACUUAAUAAUUAAUUAUUAAUUACUUCAGGUCUCUAUGGGCAAAUCAAGUGCUUUGUAAAUAAAGUUUAUUAUUAUAAUUAAUAUUAUUAUUAAAUAGGUGAAGCAGUCAGAAAUAAAAGAUGAAUUUUUUUCUCUUUUUUUGUUUUUGUUUGUUUUGGUCCAUAAUCUUCAUACAUCCCACUCAUCACUGCUGGUUCUAACUUCAGGAACUUCUUGAAGAUCAUCUGUCACUUUUAUCUGCAGAUGUUGUGACAUUUCAGUUUCUUCAGCGUUACUGAUGCUCGUUCCGGUUUGUGGCGUGGGCGUGUUUACCAGCAGAUACUCUUAAGCUGCUCAUCUGUCUUUUCCAAUCUUAAUAGCUGCCAUUGACUCGGAAAAUGUAAUUUAAAAAACUGUAAAAUAUUGAGUUUUUCACUAAGUUUGUGCUCCUCCAUCCCUCCCACUGUGAGGGGCUGAUCCACAGAUCACUGAGGUGGAGGGGGGGGUCAUCUGCUGUCCAAGUGAGGACUUAUGUAAUGAGGUGCAGUUUAGCAGGGCACAGCCCGGGUCUCUAAUGACAUCCCCUUUCAAAGCCGCACGGUUAUGUAUGGAUCCCCGUUCGAUCGGAAAUGUCAGAGGUCUGCCAUUAAUGAAAAGUGCUCCGGAUUUAAUGAAGGGUGGGGGGGCACGGUGGUGGUGACGCUGUGGAUCAACCACGUCCAUCCUGGUCCCUGUAAAGCAGCGCUUUCAUCAGGUGUGCUGUAGUACAGGAUGAAAUAAGAGCAUUUCCAGCCUACAGAUGCUCUGCUAAAUGCACUGAGCUGCCACCUACUCCUCUUCUGCUCACUGCCCCCCCAUCCUCUCAUGCUUUGUCGCUCAGCCAGUCAUACUGAAUAAUAAAUACCCUCAAACCCCAGCUGCCAAUUACACCGUGCAUAUUGGAAUUCGUGAACUCCAGAAACCAGAACAAACUUGAACUCCAAACUACCUACAAUAUUUAGCAGGAUUUCUCUGCAUUGAGUGAGAUCCUUCAGGAUGACGGCCUCUCCAGCUUGAGAGGAGAAACCAGCUAAAAGAGCCUCAAAGCGGGCAGACUCUGGAGGCAUCGCCGUUCAGCAUCCUGAGUUGAUGUGUCACCGCUGAGGAGGCUCUUUUUCUGAUGAGUAACCCAGCAGACCGGAUUCUCUCCUCUCGCUCUUAAAGUUCUGGAGCAUCUUCAAUAAGUUCCCUCUGUAAACUUCACACACAUGCUUUCCGGCCUGCACGCACGUGCACAACCCCCAAUUUAUUUAAACAAAACUAAAAAAAAAAAAAAAAA